CAAAACUUUACAAUGCUGGAAACAGCGAUAAGGGGACCUCGAGUGCCAGGUUACAAAUCUGGCUGUCGUGAUGCCUAAAAAGCAUUGCAUAGCAAGGGCCGGGCAAGACCGGUGCCAGCCGCCGCGGUAACACCGGCGGCUCGAGUGGUAACCGUUAUUAUUGGGUCUAAAGGGUCUGUAGCCGGCCGGAUAAGUCUCUUGGGAAAUCUGGCAGCUUAACUGUCAGGCUUUCAGGAGAUACUGUCUGGCUCGAGGCCGGGAGAGGUGAGAGGUACUUCAGGGGUAGGGGUGAAAUCUUGUAAUCCUUGAAGGACCACCAGUGGCGAAGGCGUCUCACCAGAACGGACCUGACGGCAAGGGACGAAAGCUAGGGGCACGAACCGGAUUAGAUACCCGGGUAGUCCUAGCCGUAAACGAUACUCGCUAGGUGUCGGCAACGGUGCGACCGUUGUCGGUGCCGUAGGGAAGCCGUGAAGCGAGCCACCUGGGAAGUACGGCCGCAAGGCUGAAACUUAA
This 516-nucleotide ribosomal RNA is filed under the name uncultured euryarchaeote. RNAcentral's name for it is "bacterial SSU rRNA". It matches the Rfam family "Archaeal small subunit ribosomal RNA", at positions 343 to 859 of the family's 1478-position model. The record is from RNAcentral. Lineage: Archaea; Methanobacteriati; Methanobacteriota.